UACGGGGGGGGCAAGCGUUGUUCGGAUUUACUGGGCGUAAAGCGCUUGUAGGUGGCUCUGUAAGUUGGGCGUGAAAACACUAGGCUUAACCUAGUGACGCCGUCCAAUACUGCAGGGCUUGAGGAUGUCAGAGGAAGGUGGAAUUCCUGGUGUAGUGGUGAAAUGCGUAGAUAUCAGGAGGAACACCCGUGGCGAAGGCGGCCUUCUGGGGCAUUCCUGACACUGAGAAGCGAAAGCUAGGGGAGCAAACAGG
Molecule: ribosomal RNA, 253 nt
Filed under: uncultured bacterium
Lineage: Bacteria
Description: partial 16S ribosomal RNA
Rfam family: Bacterial small subunit ribosomal RNA
Source: RNAcentral